RNAcentral lists this unclassified non-coding RNA (718 nucleotides) under Magnolia denudata (Yulan magnolia). RNAcentral describes it as "partial contains small subunit ribosomal RNA, internal transcribed spacer 1, 5.8S ribosomal RNA, internal transcribed spacer 2, and large subunit ribosomal RNA". The stretch from base 261 to 416 matches the Rfam family "5.8S ribosomal RNA". Lineage: Eukaryota; Viridiplantae; Streptophyta; Magnoliopsida; Magnoliales; Magnoliaceae. The record is from RNAcentral.
UUAUCAUUUAGAGGAAGGAGAAGUCGUAACAAGGUUUCUGUAGGUGAACCUGUGAAAGGAUCAUUGUCAAGGCCCGUCGAGCAGCGAGACUCGCGAACCGGUGACCCUAACGAGACGCGCGUGGCUCAGGGAGCGCGGUGCCGCCUGCUCUCUCGAGGGACCACGCGGUGAACCACCCCAGGCCCGAUUGGCGCCAAGGAAUUGAGAUGGAAUGAACCCGGCUCCCUUUGAGGAUGCCGGCAUGCGUUCAAAAAUUACACAACUCUCAGCAACGGAUAUCUUUGCUCUCGUAUCAAUAAAGAACGUAACGAAAUGCAAUACUUGGUGUGAAUUACAGAAUCCCGUGAACCAUCGAGUCUUUGAACGCAAGUGGUGCCUGAGGCCACUCUGCUAAGGGUACGCCUGCCUGGGCAUCAUGCAUCGUGCUGCCCCACCAGGCGUUCAGCUCAUCCGGCGGUGGCGUCGCGUGGCGGAGACUAGCCACCCGUGUGCCCUGUGCGCAUGGCCGGCUGAAAAGCAUUCACUCCCUCGCCGUGACACGGACGCGGCGGUAGGUGGUUUGAGAGGCGACUACCUCGUUGGAGCUCGGACACCGUGCUAGUCGCCCCAUGCUAGGGGAAAGCAAAGUGAAGUGGCACCCAACUCGGCCGCCCUGCGCGGCCCUCGCGCAGCGACCUCAAGUUAGGCGGGGACACCUACCGAGUUUAAGCAUAUCAAU